Molecule: ribosomal RNA, 434 nt
Filed under: uncultured bacterium
Lineage: Bacteria
Description: bacterial SSU rRNA
Rfam family: Bacterial small subunit ribosomal RNA
Source: RNAcentral
GAUGAACGCUGGCGGCGUGCCUAACACAUGCAAGUCGAACGGAGCUGCUUUGAUGAAGUUUUCGGAUGGAUUUAAAACAGCUUAGUGGCGGACGGGUGAGUAACGCGUGGGUAACCUGCCUCACACUGGGGGAUAACAGUUAGAAAUAGCUGCUAAUACCGCAUAAGCGCACAGUUCCGCAUGGAACAGUGUGAAAAACUCCGGUGGUGUGAGAUGGACCCGCGUCUGAUUAGCCAGUUGGCGGGGUAACGGCCCACCAAAGCGACGAUCAGUAGCCGGCCUGAGAGGGUGAACGGCCACAUUGGGACUGAGACACGGCCCAAACUCCUACGGGAGCAGCAGUGGGAAUAUUGGCACAAAUGGGGGGAAACCCUGAUGCAGCGACGCCGCGUGAGUGAAGAAGUAUUUCGGUAUGUAAAGCUCUAUCAGCAGGG